RNAcentral lists this unclassified non-coding RNA (503 nucleotides) under Bombus terrestris (buff-tailed bumblebee). Its description in RNAcentral is "misc RNA ENSBTSG00005033484.1". The record is from RNAcentral. Lineage: Eukaryota; Metazoa; Arthropoda; Insecta; Hymenoptera; Apidae.
UUAAUAUGAAUUAAUGUAUAUGAAAAGUAGAGACAUUUUUCUUUCGAACGAAAGUCGAUACCUUGCUUUGUCGUAUUUGCACAAACAUAUAUGUAUAUAUACAUAAUUAGUAGUCAUUCAAAAUGUUUUAUGAUGAGAAAUUCAUCUAUGAUAUAAUUCGGAAAGUAUCUUAGUAUGUAUGUAUGUACGUAUAUAUAAUUCUUUUUCAUAAGAUAAAAUAGAGCAACGAAUAAUAUUGUAUCGUACUAACAGGUGUCUCUGCACGUUGCAUCAAUGGAGCCAGUGUUGCAGUUUACAGAAUGCAAUCAGGAAAAGAAGAACUUCUCCCUAUCUUCGACGCGAUGGAAUGUCACUGGGCCAAACGUGACCCAAACUGUGCACGGCUCGUUAAGGACCAGCUACCGCCGCUAUCGUUUAAGAAACGUUUAAGAAGUUAUUCGAGGCAGGCACAAGGAUAAGUUCCAUUCGCUUUUUCGGUCAGUCGGACAUCUUAUACAUAAGAA